CUAGCGGCAUAUGGAGGUUCCCAGGCUAGAGGUCUAGUCGGAGCCACAACAGCCAGCCACAGCCACAGCCACCACCACAGCCACAGCAAUAUGGGAUCCAAGGCGCAUUUGCAACCUACACUACAGCUCAUGGCAAUGCCGGAUCCUUUACCCACUGAGCGAGGCCAGGGAUCAAACCCGCAAUGUCAACGUUCCUGUAUGGGUUCAUUUCCAUUGCGCCAUGACAGGAACUCCAUAUUGACCCACAUUCUGAUUGAUCCUUUAAAAAUGGAAGCCCAGUCAUGUCACUUCUUGGAGCAAUAAGUGGUUCUCCAUCAACAGUAAAAGCCAAAGACCUCCACCUCCUUCUGCCAGCCCCUCGGACCACCCACCCAACCCUCUCCCACCUCAUUCUGCCCUGUCCUGUGGGCACAUCACACACCUGUGCUGUCCCCUCUGCCUGGAACGCUCAGCCUCAGACAUACAUCUCCACGACUCCUUCCCGCACCUUCUUCAGAGGCUGCUCAAAAACACACCCUUACGUAAAAAACAGAUACCCAACAAGGACCCACUGCAGAGCACAGGAAACGCCACUCCAUGGUCCAUAAUAACCCGUAAGAGAAAAGAAUAUGAAAAGGAAAAAAAUAUAUGUAUAGACCACACAUAACUGAAUCACUUUGCUGUACACCUAAAACUAACACAAUACAGCAAGUCAACUAUACUUCAAUAAAAUUAAAAAAAAAAGUCACCUCUCAAAGGCUGAGCUUUCUUACCCAGUUUGUUUAUUUCACAGCUCCUACCACUUUCUGGCUUACUUUACACUUCUGUGUGUCUGUCUGUGGUUUGUCUUCACCACCCCUCCCCUCCCCUGGAUGGAAGCUCCCGAAGGGUAGGAACUUCGCUUUUUCUUCCUUGUCUGUAAGUCCCAGAACACAUAACGGGUGACACACAGUGUCAGCAACAAAUACAGACAGGGCGAAUGGACAUGUCUCUACCCAACCUUGUAGGAAAGUGGGCAGGAUGAGGAUACACACGUUAAAGUAGGAUUAAAAAACAAGAGCCUACUGUACAGCACAGGAAACUCUACUCGAUAUCUUAUAAUAACCUAGACUAGCCAUACAUAUGGUUAUAUAUAUAUGUGUGUGUAUAAAUAUAUAUAUACAUAUAUAAUGUAUGUGUGUAUAACUGAGUCACUUUGUUGUACACUUGAAACUAACACAACACUGUAAAUCGACUAUACUUCGGUUUUUAAAAAACCCACAUAUAAGUGGAAUCAACAGGCAUGGAGCCAGAGUCGCACGUCCUAAAGCUCCAUCUGGGAGCAGGUGUAGAGGACUCAGCGGGGGUCCAGGCUGCCCUGCACAGAGGCUCACAGGAGCCAUGCCACAGGAGCAUCUGAGUGUGGCACCAGUGGCAUUUGCUUGUUCUCUCUGCAGAAGUCUGUGCAGGUGACAAUCCUGGGGCUGCACACCCACCACCGAGUGUGUUCCACCCACUGGUGUCUCCCUAGGGCAGGGCAGGCGGGGGGGCGGGGGUGGUCCUGUGGGAAAAUGGAGGCGGGUCUUUCUCUUGGGGACCCGUGUGCCUGGGCUUUGGGGGUCCAAGCCACUGGAGCUGCCUGCGCCGCUGCAUCCUCUCCAGUCCUCCCCCAGGAGCGGGAGGACACAGGGAGUCAGCUCGACCCUCUCAAAGCUGGAGAAGUGCUUGAUAUUUCCUGUGAUCCAGCCAUCACGAGAGGGAGAGGCUGCAGAAACGCGCUUCCCAUCACGCAAGCCCUCACAGAACGAGACGAACCAACACUUGGCAGAGUGAGAGAUAAGGAGGAUGCUUCAAAAAUAAAAUUAAAGAAAUAAAGACAUGUUGAUGAAAAUACAUGCAGGGAACAGUAAACCUCCAUGAAACGAUCAGGCCACCUCUCUCUCCUGGCACCAAAUCCAGUUCUAAUGAAUCUCUAAAGAGUCCCUAAUUAUGGGCGGGAUUUAUUUUUCCAGGCUUUCCACAGAAUCCGUUUCUGUAAAACAAGAGCAACGAGCUUUGUUCUAUGUUUUUUAGAAAAGGAAAACUGAACGUGCUGGCGAUUCUCCCUCUGUCCCUCGUGACCCUCAGCCCACACCCCCUGCCCCUGCUCCGAACCCUAGGCCAGACCCGGCUCCUGGGGGGCUUUGGACCCCACCCCCGCCGGAGGAUCUGGUCAAAGGCAGAGUCCAGGACACUUAUUCCUCUUUCCUCUCCUGGCCCAGGGCUCCCAUCAAGCACCCCAUCCGUGGCUCACAGCACUGGGGGCCCUGCUCUCCUUUGCUUCCGAGGCCCAGGGAGGUCACGGCCCCUCACUGUGGCUACUCUCUGGCGGCUUUGCCUUCUCCUCUUGGUCCUCUUGCCCUGCCUGCUUCUUGGUAAGGAGACCUUUCUUGAAACGCCCUCUGUCGCCUGAAGAACUUGUGUUCCGGGGGGGAACAUCCCAUUCAGGGGGAAGAUGCAGCCUGGCAGCUGUGUCUCCUCCAGGAGCAGCAGGGCUGGGAGACGGGCCGAGCGCUCUGGAAACGGGCAGGGCAGGGAGCUUCAGCCACGUCCAAGGCCAGGCUGCUGGCUGGGGGCCUCUCUUGCUGGGGCAUGACCCCUCUCUGACCUCAAGGCCACCUAAGUUAUUUUAGGAAUGCAAGAGAAUGACGCACCGGGAUAAGAAUGAGAUGCUGUCAUCUCAGAAUAAAAGGUCCACCUUCCAUUCACCUCCAUGAGCUGUCAGAACCGAAAGGCUGUGCUUCUGGGCUGUCAACCGCCAGGGCGAAGACUGAAAAAGGAAUAUACCAGGAAGAUGACUGCACCGAACAGGAGUCUGAGACGUUCCGCUCGGUAGCCGGUGUCACGAUAGUAAUGCGAGCACCAGACUGUGUUAAGGUCCUCGGGAGAAAGAAGACCACUGAGUGUCGCCCGUUUCCAGCUGCAUAACCGGCAUUCUGUAGACCCAGCCAGAGGGCAUCUCUUUAAUGAAUUAGCCAUUUGGUUUUCUCACAUUAAAUGGAUGGGUAAAGGUGUCAUAUUAUCAUGGGGCGGCGUCUGGAUAGGAUGAUGCCCAGGGCAGUCGUGACCACAGAACGCUGCGACCGUGAACUUGGGGUUGGUGGGAUUGUUAACACCCCUUAGUAUGAAUCAGAGAGAGGCAUCUUCUCGAAAACAGAACUUCCCGUCCAUCAGCUGGAGCAGCGGGCGUGCUCCGUGGUUAAUGUCAAAGGGUUUGUAACUUGGAUAAGAUGCUAUGCUUGCUGCCCAAUCUCAUCUCAGAUCUGAUCAGUCCUCCAGAAACACAUUAAGACUAAAAAUGGUUUCAAAUGGAUCUGAGGGCAGUUUUAGCACCAAGCAAAGCAGCAUUCUGGCUAAUGUCCCUCCUCUAAUGAGGAGAAAGGGCGGUCGUAUUAGCCCUCUGACAUCAAUUUGUAACUUAUCAGCCGCCACAGCAGCCAGCCAGAUUUCAAGUGACCGGAAUAAGAGGAAGCAUUUCGUGACUUGGGAAGAGUACUUUCUAUUAUUCUCAAGGGUUCCAAGGCCAGAUCAUGGCAACUACCAGAUAUGUUCAAUAAUCAUAACCCAUGUUUUCUGAGCUCUGAUCCUGCACCCAGCAUUGUCUGCGUGACUUGCUGUGCCUGGUCUGAUUUGAUGCUCCAAGAUCUAGUGAGUGAGGGAUUCUUGCCUCCAUAUACUAGAAAGCAAAGAGUCCUAAUUUAGUAGACCUGUCUGAAUGCUAAUAUUGGUACUGGUGAUAAUAACAUCCAUGAAAUGGUUCGCCAAGCUAUAAAAAAAUAAUUCUUAAAAUGGAGUAGGGGAAAAGAGCAAUAUUCCAGCUGAAGCCAACUCUUCUGUUCUCUUGGCAAAUGACGCCCUAGCUCUUAGUCUCUCCCGGGGGUGAGUGUGCUUUCCAGCACCCUUCUGAUGGAAAGUUCCACAAAAUGUGUAAGAGGGUGCAAAGGACCCCCUCUGACCUCGCCCUCGGUAUUACCCUCCUGGUAAACCUGAGGGUGUGGGAUUCAGUGAGAAGCGCCUGACAGAGAGGCAUUUCAAACUGCAGGCUAAAGAUGCUGCUGGUCUUGGGGUGUGUGUGGUCACCUGAAUAUGCACGUCUAGUCCUGUUGGCUUUAUAGGGUCCCAUUCCAUUGCUUCUUGCGGUGCAUGACCAAAGAGGGUCUUCACUGUAAAAGAAAGGGACGCCUCUGGCCAAAACACCCACCCCGGGUGAAACCUGCCAGAACAUUUCCAGGCUGGCCCGCGGCCCAUGCCAAGGCUUCUGUGUGGACGACCACCCAGACGUUAGCACACUGGAGCCACCCGAACGUGGCUCCGGGUCAUUCUGUUUACGACACUCUUCUUAAUACCUUAUGGGCUUGGUAGCAUCAGCUCCAGCUAAUAAGGAGUGUUCAUCCCCACAGGCUCCGAGAAGGGCUUCGCCUGUGUCUGUGACUUCCACAAACGUGUGGCUGCUGGCCCUGGUCCAGCCUGGGGAUGGUGCUAGAUUUUUACAACCAACGCUCAGUUAUCUCAAAAAAAAAAAAGCGGUUAUAGUCUAAUUGGAUUUCACAGAACAAGCAGGUGUGGGCUGAAGGGAAACCCCAGGUCCCUGAAAGUCUAAAACAGCUCUGCAGGAAAAACAAGGUGAGUUUG
This 4629-nucleotide long non-coding RNA is filed under the name Sus scrofa (pig). Its description in RNAcentral is "lncRNA (ENSSSCG00065042692.1)". Lineage: Eukaryota; Metazoa; Chordata; Mammalia; Artiodactyla; Suidae. The record is from RNAcentral.